UAGGUCACCCUAGAUUGGUCAUCUUUAUACCUUGUUUACCCCUGAACCUUUUUGGACAGUAUCUGCUAUUGCUAUAUGUGGUAUUGGGUGUCAAGAUAAUUAUUAUUCAUGAUCAUGUUCCUUAAUGUUGUUGAAUUCUUUAUCAUUCAUGAUAAGACUAUUGUUUUAAUUGGAACAUGGAGCUUAACUUGAGAUAUACGUGCUACCACAAGGUUGGAAUGGGACGCUCUUGGCUGACUAAUUAGGAAAGCUAGUGGAGAUCUACCUUACUAAAAGGGAAAUGUGCCCUUGGGCCAUUUCUAAGUAUUUUGGUGAUUGAGUGCCAACGCAAGUGCUUUUGUGUUGAUCUAUGCAAAGUGGUGGACAAAGUGCAAAUCAUGUCAAAAGGUAUGUUUCUAGACUUAGUACAUCGUUUUAUAGACUAAUGUAUUGUCUCUAAGUGCUGGAAACAGGAAAGAUUGAAUUGGAAAUGAGAUGGCUCUGUUCAGCCAAAGUCAGCUCGGUCUGGGUGCACCGGACUGUCCGAUCGUGCACCGGACAGUGUCCGGUGCGCCAGGCUGGCUCAGGCGAACUUGCUGCUCUCGGGAAGAAACUAACGACGUACGACUAUAAUUCACCGGACUGUCCGGUGUGCACCGGACAGUGUCCGGUGAGCCAACGGUCGCCGGGCCAACGGUCGGCCGCUUAAUCCGGG
RNAcentral lists this long non-coding RNA (694 nucleotides) under Zea mays. RNAcentral's name for it is "drought responsive lncRNA". Lineage: Eukaryota; Viridiplantae; Streptophyta; Magnoliopsida; Poales; Poaceae. The record is from RNAcentral.